RNAcentral lists this ribosomal RNA (305 nucleotides) under uncultured bacterium. RNAcentral describes it as "bacterial SSU rRNA". It matches the Rfam family "Bacterial small subunit ribosomal RNA", at positions 335 to 636 of the family's 1533-position model. The record is from RNAcentral.
AUACCUACGGGGGGCAGCAGUGAGGAAUAUUGGUCAAUGGGCGAGAGCCUGAACCAGCCAAGUCGCGUGAAGGAUGACGGCCCUACGGGUUGUAAACUUCUUUUGUCAGGGAGCAAUUGGGUCCACGCGUGGGCUUAGCGAGAGUACCUGAAGAAAAAGCAUCGGCUAACUCCGUGCCAGCAGCCGCGGUAAUACGGAGGAUGCGAGCGUUAUCCGGAUUUAUUGGGUUUAAAGGGAGAGUAGGUGGCAGAGCAAGUCCGAAGUGAAAACCCAAAGCUCAACUAUGGGAAUGCCUUAGAAACUGG